This 497-nucleotide ribosomal RNA is filed under the name uncultured bacterium. RNAcentral describes it as "partial 16S ribosomal RNA". It matches the Rfam family "Bacterial small subunit ribosomal RNA", at positions 28 to 507 of the family's 1533-position model. The record is from RNAcentral.
GAUGAACGCUGGCGGCGUGCCUAAUACAUGCAAGUCGAGCGAACAGAUGAGGAGCUUGCUCCUCUGACGUUAGCGGCGGACGGGUGAGUAACACGUGGAUAACCUACCUAUAAGACUGGGAUAACUUCGGGAAACCGGAGCUAAUACCGGAUAAUAUAUUGAACCGCAUGGUUCGAUAGUGAAAGACGGUUUUGCUGUCACUUAUAGAUGGAUCCGCGCCGCAUUAGCUAGUUGGUAAGGUAACGGCUUACCAAGGCGACGAUGCGUAGCCGACCUGAGAGGGUGAUCGGCCACACUGGAACUGAGACACGGUCCAGACUCCUACGGGAGGCAGCAGUAGGGAAUCUUCCGCAAUGGGCGAAAGCCUGACGGAGCAACGCCGCGUGAGUGAUGAAGGUCUUCGGAUCGUAAAACUCUGUUAUUAGGGAAGAACAAAUGUGUAAGUAACUAUGCACGUCUUGACGGUACCUAAUCAGAAAGCCACGGCUAACUACGUG